This 524-nucleotide ribosomal RNA is filed under the name uncultured Glomeraceae. Its description in RNAcentral is "SSU rRNA". It matches the Rfam family "Eukaryotic small subunit ribosomal RNA", at positions 569 to 1093 of the family's 1831-position model. The record is from RNAcentral. Lineage: Eukaryota; Fungi; Glomeromycota; Glomeromycetes; Glomerales; Glomeraceae.
AGCAGCCGCGGUAAUUCCAGCUCCAAUAGCGUAUAUUAGAGUUGUUGCAGUUAAAAAGCUCGUAGUUGAAUUUCGGGAUCAAUACGUCGGUCGUGCUUUCGGGUACGUACUGGCGUCAUUGGUUUCUCCUUUCUGACGAACCAUGAUGUCAUUAAUUUGGUGUUAUGGGGAGUUAGGACUGUUACUUUGAAAAAAUUAGAGUGUUUAAAGCAGGCAUUAGCUUGAAUACAUUAGCAUGGAAUAAUGAAAUAGGACGUUCGAUCCUAUUUUGUUGGUUUCUAGGACCAACGUAAUGAUUAAUAGGGAUAGUUGGGGGCAUUAGUAUUCAAUUGUCAGAGGUGAAAUUCUUGGAUUUAUUGAAGACUAACUACUGCGAAAGCAUUUGCCAAGGAUGUUUUCAUUAAUCAAGAACGAAAGUUAGGGGAUCGAAGACGAUCAGAUACCGUCGUAGUCUUAACCAUAAACUAUGCCGACUAGGGAUCGGAUGAUGUUAAUUUUUUAAUGACUCAUUCGGCGCCUUACGG